AGCUCAUAGCGUAUAUUAAGUUGUUGCAGUUAAAAAGCUCGUAGUUGAAUUUCGGGAUCAAAUUGUCGGUCGUGCCUCGGUACGUACUGGCGUUAUUGGUUCCUCCCUUCUGAAGAACCGCGAUGUCAUUAAUUUGGUGUCGCGGGGAAUCAGGACUGUUACUUUGAAAAAAUUAGAGUGGUAUAAGCAGGCA
This 193-nucleotide ribosomal RNA is filed under the name uncultured Glomus. RNAcentral describes it as "partial small subunit ribosomal RNA". It matches the Rfam family "Eukaryotic small subunit ribosomal RNA", at positions 587 to 786 of the family's 1831-position model. The record is from RNAcentral. Lineage: Eukaryota; Fungi; Glomeromycota; Glomeromycetes; Glomerales; Glomeraceae. RNAcentral also lists the same sequence under 1 other name.